This 216-nucleotide ribosomal RNA is filed under the name Glomeromycotina sp. RNAcentral's name for it is "partial small subunit ribosomal RNA". The stretch from base 40 to 216 matches the Rfam family "Eukaryotic small subunit ribosomal RNA", at positions 686 to 864 of the family's 1831-position model. Lineage: Eukaryota; Fungi; Glomeromycota. The record is from RNAcentral.
GGGUCAGUAGGUUGGUCGUGCCACCGGUACGUACUGGUCUCACUGAUUCCUCCUUCCUGAAGAACCGUAAUGCCAUUAAUUUGGUGUUGCGGGGAAACAGGACUGUUACUUUGAAAAUAUUAGAGUGUUUAAAGCAAGCUAACGCUUGAAUUAAUUAGCAUGGAAUAAUGAAAUAGGACGAUCGAUCCUAUUUUGUUGGUUUCUAGGAUUGACGUA